AAUGCAACAAACGCUGCUUCCAAUUCCACGCUUACUUACCAAAAUCUGUGGCCAAACAAGCAGCACAUCUAGUUCUAUCUUGGACCCAUUGUAUUCCCAAAUAAAAACAAAACUCUAAUUCCAUCAUUCGCAUCACAACAGGUCUUCGAUGUCUGUUGGAAACUGAGUUGAAGUGACAUUGCUAACAUGAACCAUGUUUUAAAGGAU
RNAcentral lists this long non-coding RNA (207 nucleotides) under Elaeis guineensis (African oil palm). RNAcentral describes it as "long non-coding RNA (EGUI_LNC046940)". Lineage: Eukaryota; Viridiplantae; Streptophyta; Magnoliopsida; Arecales; Arecaceae. The record is from RNAcentral.